GAUGAACGCUGGCGGCGUGCUUAACACAUGCAAGUCGAACGAGAAAUGUAGACGGACACCUUCGGGCGGAAGCCUUCAUUUCGAGUGGCGGACGGGUGAGUAACGCGUGGGUAACCUGCCUCAUACAGGGGGAUAACAGUUGGAAACGACUGUUAAUACCGCAUAAGACCACAGCAUCGCAUGAUGCGGGGGUAAAAACUCCGGUGGUAUGAGAUGGACCCGCGUUGGAUUAGCCAGUUGGCGGGGUAACGGCCCACCAAAGCGACGAUCGAGACCCGAGCUGAGAGGCAGACCGGAGACAUUGGGACGAGGACACGGUCCAAACUCCUACGGGAGGCAGCAGAGGGGAAUAUUGCAAAAUGGGGGAAACGAUGAUGCAGCGACGCCGGGUGAGUGAAGAAGUACUUCGGUAUGUAAAGCGCUAUCAGCAGGGAAGAACAUGACGGUACCUGAGUAAGAAGCCCCGGCUAACUACGUG
RNAcentral lists this ribosomal RNA (478 nucleotides) under uncultured bacterium. RNAcentral's name for it is "partial 16S ribosomal RNA". It matches the Rfam family "Bacterial small subunit ribosomal RNA", at positions 28 to 507 of the family's 1533-position model. The record is from RNAcentral.